GCUCCCUUCCACUCUAACGUGGAGGCACUUUCUGGCCUUGCGACAACAGUAAGUGCUUCCAUGUUUUAGUAGAAGU
Cavia aperea (Brazilian guinea pig) is the source of this 76-nucleotide microRNA precursor. Ensembl annotates it as microRNA 302b. NCBI's taxonomy places the organism in Eukaryota, Metazoa, Chordata, Mammalia, Rodentia, Caviidae. The record is from Ensembl.